CCUUUGUACACACCGCCCGUCGCUACUACCGAUUGAAUGGCUCAGUGAGGCGUCCGGACUGGCCCAGAGAGGUGGGCAACUACCCCUCAGGGCCGGAAAGUUGUUCAAACUUGGUCAUUUAGAGG
Molecule: ribosomal RNA, 125 nt
Filed under: Nectriaceae sp.
Lineage: Eukaryota; Fungi; Ascomycota; Sordariomycetes; Hypocreales; Nectriaceae
Description: partial small subunit ribosomal RNA
Rfam family: Eukaryotic small subunit ribosomal RNA
Source: RNAcentral